UCAGGUGGUUAUAGCACGAGGGGUUCCACCUCUUCCCAUUCCGAACAGAGAAGUUAAGCCUCGUCACGCCGAUGGUACUGCGUAACAGUGGGAGAUAGGUAGCCGCCGUUU
Molecule: ribosomal RNA, 111 nt
Filed under: Bacteroides ovatus
Lineage: Bacteria; Pseudomonadati; Bacteroidota; Bacteroidia; Bacteroidales; Bacteroidaceae
Source: RNAcentral